Molecule: long non-coding RNA, 3042 nt
Organism: Musa acuminata AAA Group (dessert banana)
Lineage: Eukaryota; Viridiplantae; Streptophyta; Magnoliopsida; Zingiberales; Musaceae
Exons: 6
Source: RefSeq, a predicted model, not a curated record
CGAGUGCGGUCGAUCCGGACGAGCCGUAGCGCCACGCCGCCUUAUCCGCCCUCUGCCUGCUCUAUGCGCCCGCCCUCCGUCACGUCCGCCUUGCCUCAGCUUCGAGUUUCCCGCGCCACCGCGUCGCCGGAACUUCUUCCCAGCCGCGGCAGCCUCCUUAGCUCUGGCCGCCGGACGAUCGAGGAGCAGUUCUUCUCUGCCAGGGUUCAGCCCGCGAUGGCCUCUUCCGCCGGCGAGGCCCGUCUCUCGACCUUAGAGGAACGUGUUGGAGUUGGCUUUUCUGUUUUCAGUUUGUGAGUGCAUCGGUGUGUUGGUUGCUUCUCCCUUCAAGGCUGUGCUCGGCUGGUGCUGGGCGCCUCUGCUGGCGGGGCGCACAGAAGCUGUUCGAUGAAUUAUCGGUCGUGCGUAUGCCUGUUUUCUUAAUCUGCAGAGCUCUUGGAAUUCGUUCUAACGUUGGAUUUUGUUGAGGCCAGCUCCCGGGAAUGAGUUCUAGAGCUCAAAAAUGUGAUUUUUUGCUGGUUAAUUGCUUCUCUCACAGGAAAUGAGGGCAUCCUAACAGUGGAUAUUCGUGUGGACUUCGGAAUUGGGUCAUCGUACGCAUGCUUAUUUGUCGUUUUGCAAAAUUGAACAGUGAAUUAUUUGUAUGCAUCAGCAACCAGAACAACCAGGCUUGCCAUAAGAAGCAUGGUAUUCUUACAAACAAAACUAGUGGGAUGAUCUUGAGCGAUGCCAAAUUCACUGCUAAGCAAUUCGCAGAGCUGUCGGAUCUCAUCUUCUGAUCAAGGUUGCUAGUUCUAACAGCCCAAAAUUGGCAGCUGAGGAAUCUAACCUGACUGUGCUUGUUUUGAGCAUAUUGUUCAGUAUUUUGCUGCAUUUUGCUAAGAAGCGAAAGGUCUGCUCUAGUGGGUUGUUAAUCUUUGAAGUGGCUAAUUCCAAGGGAGUGACACUUGAUGUGGCAAUUAGAUGCAGUUAUUCAAUGCGUGAAGUUGAUAUGAAGCAUGCAAAAACGAAUGAGCUCAUAAAUGAACAUACGAAGAUAGAGGAUUACCUGCAUGUAAACCAUGGGGGAGAACUGCAACUCUGGACCAAGCACCUUAUCUGGUACCAGGAGCCUCCAACGCGACGACGACGACUCCACGUCCAGCCACUCACCCAGCGUCCUUGUACACCUAGCUUCGAUGAUCCUCAGCCCACAGUCAUUGCACUUGAUCAGUGGACGUCCACUCUCCGCCCUCCGAAUUCGUCCAGCCAUGGGAUAGCAGAUGUUGAGCCACAAGAACAUGGGAUUUUUUAGGUCGGCAAUGGUGAUACCAUCAGUGAUCUCACUUUGAUUGAAGUAGUACACAGCCCUCAGGUAGUGCAGCUUCAUGAUGAGGUCCAUAUUGGUGAGUUCAUGCAGGACAGCAUUGCCGGUCACCGUCGCAGGCACCACAGUCGAUAUCCUGUGAUCGUAGAUGACAGUCUUUUCCUGUUCAACACCCAUGACCUGGUCUUAGAGGAGACUAGAGAAAGCUGAGGAGGAGAAAGAGACUAGCAGUUUGUAGGUCACACAUUUUUGGAGACUUGGCUCAGCAUACGAUAUAUAGAGAAGGAUCGGAGGCAGGAAGCUGGGGUGGUGUGGGAGGUGAGCAACUAUUGUGACGGCAUUUUAAAUGGCUGCAUUGGUUGAUGGGACCCUGAAAAUGAACAUAAAGAUAGGAAAGCAUGAUCAGUUGGUUGGCACUAAAUUAAUUGGCGAUGACAAAGAUUACCACAUCGCGGUGCAAAGUACUCCCAGUGACAUGCAAACUUCUUCAGAUACAAGAGAUGGGGGCUUCCUAAUGUUAUUCCUUGAGGCAACUGAGAUGACAGUGAAAUAACAGUGUUGCUCGAACCCUCAAAUGGACGGAAAUGGAGGAAUGCAAGGUGGAUAAACAAGGAGUGGAAUAACAGUGUUCUUCUGGUCAGAUCGAGUGUGGUGGAUCUUAAGAUUUGAGCUCCAUUUCCUAAAUAUAGACAAACCUGGUUACAAAUUUGAAGUUGCUACAGUUUCUGAGAUAUGGAGAUGGGAGUUUGAUCAGAAGAGAAAGUUGUAUGUAACAUUGGAGUUCCGAGUUUCUCACGGUGAAUGAAGACGGAGGUUCUCACGUGAAGUGCUUAGUGCUUAAUAAUUAGCCCACCAUUAAUGCAGUCCCUACUCACCUGCCUAUGCUGCUGUUCUAUGGCCCUUUCAUGCCCAGUCCUUUACCCCCUUGCUCCAUUCUUUGAUCAAAGUGUUCAUGGCUUCACUGAUGCUUUUAAUCCUGUAUCAUAUGUGGGAGGACAGUUGAGUUGGGUUUACAAGAUCAGAGGCAGUAAGCAAUCAUUAAUCUGAGCAUAAAUAUUUUGGAUUAGUACCAUCAUUGGAUUGGAUUUCUACCAAAUAAAAUAAAUUGGAGCACACGUAGACGUCCCAAUUUGUCUCUGAACCCGAAUCAGUAAUCACCAAAGCACAAAGAAUGUAUCAAGAAAAGCCUUCUGAUGCAGGUCCUGAGUGGUUGCAGCUGUUAUGAAUGAGGAUGGUGACGGUGUCCAUUGUUGCUUGCUUGAUUAAGCGAGUAUGUCGUAGAUCUAAUCAUUGAAAACUAUGCAUGUUUAGGUGAGGCCCUUCAAUAAUUGUGGUCUCCUUUGGGCUGUCGAGGAAGGUGGUUAACUGACUUAACUGGACAACCUCUUCUUUGAGCUCAUCAUUUUUUCUCUGCCUGACUUGGAACUAUUAGGGUGGAAACUUGAAGGGCUGGAGAAAGUGAGGUGAUGUCUUUUCCUUGACAUGAAGAGCUGUUUCAAGGAUAAGACAAGAGACAUGUCACUGAUGCUGAUGUGACUGCUUAUUUUUAAUAAGUAUGAUGUGCAGUGUAGCUCACCAGAAGAUAACAACAUUGUUGCUUACUUGUAUUAUUAAUUAAAGCAGCCACUGGAGUGGUUGUGUCUAUGUUAUGUAGAGGACAUUCAAGAACAUGCAACAGUUGCUGUCACCUUAUUUGGAUGUGCAAUGAAUGAUGCUUGGUGAAGUUAAAACAUUUA